GGGCUGGCGGGGACAGCUGGCCCCCAGUCAGGGACACGAGACGGUGGCAAGAAAUGUCCCAGGCACGUACAGGCCUCUCUUCGGCCAGGGUGGCCUUGACCCUGGGAAAUGGCAGUGUGUCCUGGGCCCUGCACGUGGGGAAACCUCGCAAUGGCCCCAGGAGAGCCAGGAAUCUGGAUUUCCAGAAGAGGAAACAGACGUCCAGAGAGGCCGUGACUUGCCCGCUGUCACCCGACUAUAGGGAGCAUAUGACCAAAGCAGGAGUGGGAAUUCAGGGCAGGCUGACCCCAGAAGCCUGUGCCUGGAUGCACUUUCCUCCUGGGGAGUGAGGUGGGGGAAACUGAGGCUGGACGGAGCGGAGGAGAUUCCAACUCAAUGCCGGGGUGGGAGGCGGUGGUCGCCGCCCCGCUUGCAGUCCCCGUCCCUCCGGGAGGUUUCCGCUCUGGAGGGGACGCCCCGGGGACUCUGCCGGGAACCGGGGUUAUUUUUAGAGCGCGCGCUGCGCUGUCUCCUCUGCCGGAGGCCGAGCCCCGCGGGAUGGGGGCGGGAUGGGGGGCGGCGGGGGCAGGUGUCGGGGGAGGGGUCGCCACGUGUCCGGGUUAAUUAUAACCGGCCGGCUCGGGUGUCCCCGGCCUCGCCUCCUUACAAGGGCAGCCGCGGGCCCGGGAGGCGCCGGGCGCGCAGGGCAAGGGGGCUGGGUGGCGACUCGGGCGGAGCAGGAGCUACGGGCGCCUCGAGUGUGUGACCGAGUGUGUGACCAGGGGGGACCUCAAGGGCUGAAGAGGGGAUUCGGUGAAAGGGGGGCCUACAGGAAGCUGCUUCCUCCGCCUGGAAGGCGCCAAGAUUUCAGGACGAGCGAGCCCAGGGAGCCCCCAGUGUCAGAAGCCCUUUCUGUGUUUGGGGCGUUCCCACCUGAUGACAGCCUCCUUUGAAGAAGCCAACAAUGUCAAAAACUCCAUUUCCCAGGAUCCUUUGCAGCAACAGUCCAGUCAUGUGAUCAAGAAAUGGAAUCCUGGGGCCGGCCCCGCGGCCGAGUGGUUGAGUUCACAUACUCUGCUUCAAUGGCCCAGGGUUUCGCCAGUUCGGAUCCUGGGUGCGGACAUGGCACCGCUCAUCAAGCCAUGCUGAGGCGGCGUCCCACGUGCCACAACUAGAAGGACCCACAACUGAAAAUACAACUAUGUACUGGGGGGAUUGAGGGAGAAAGAGUAGAAAAAAUAUAUAAAUAAAUAAAGACAAUUUUUUAAAAAUGGAACCUUAAACCCGUCCAUCAGGAACCGCCUGAUCAGCCCUCCCUCGGUGUCUGCUUGGCAGACCCCUGAUGUCCCCUAUCAGGGAAAGUGACCUGAGUCACCAAGCUGCCUUUUGGCCUAACACACCCUCCUCAUUCCUGCUCCCUUCUUGUAAGUCCUUCAUUUUGUCCUGCUCCUCGAAGCUCCUUUCUAUCGGCUAGAUCAGACGCUGCCCGAUUCAAAUCGAUUUUUGCUCAAAUAAAUUCUUAAAAUGUUUACCGUGCCUCAGUUUAUCUUUUAACAAUAUGUGGACAUCGUAUGGUGUGGGCCAUGCAGGGGAGGUCUUUCUCAUGCCGAGGCCAGGUCACAAAAGGAAAUGUUCAAGAUCGAAGCUCAGAACUGGCACGGCGUCCCUGGUGCCCCUCGGCCAUUGGCCAAAGCAAGUCGCAUGACCACACCCAGUGUCAAGGCCGCCGUCCCCUCUCCCUCCGUGGGUAAAGAUUUUUCUCAUUUCCGUUUUUCUUAAAUGGGCACCACGCUCACACAGCCACACACGAUUCAUGCCCUUGGGAUGCCUCUGGAAGGAUAUCAGAAAUGGGUCACGGGGGCCGGCCCGGUGGCGCAGCGGUUAAGUGCGCAUGUUCUUCUUCUUGGUGGCCCGGGGUUCACCGGUUCGGAUCCCGGCUGCGGACAUGGCACCGCUUGGCAAGCCAUGCUGUGAUAGGCGUCCCACGUAUAAAGUAGAGGAAGAUGGGCAUGGAUGUUAGCUCAGGGCCAGUCUUCCUCAGCAAAUAGAGGAGGAUUGGCAGGAGAUGUUAGCUCAGGGCUGAUCUUCCUCAAAAGAAAAAGAAAGAAAGGGGUCAUCAUGUUUGCUGGUGGGAGUGAUGUCUAGGGACCAAGGAGAGACUAGUCUUCUGUUCUCUGUGACAUUCUUUCUGACAGUGCAUUACUCUGUAAAUUAAACAAAGGCGGGGGGAGCUUUUUAAAAACUGGCCAAGAGGUGAAAAUCAAAAAGGCCCCAACCCAUCCGCCCGUUUUCCUGACACGGCAAACUGAGGUCCUCAGUGAGAGGACAGGAGUUUUGUUGAGUGCCUUCUUGGCUGUGGUCUGGGGCAAGGGAUUCCUCCUCUCGAGCCUCAGUUUCCCCAUCUUUAGUUGGGGCUAGCAAUAGUGCCUACCUC
Equus asinus (donkey) is the source of this 2413-nucleotide long non-coding RNA. The record is from Ensembl. NCBI's taxonomy places the organism in Eukaryota, Metazoa, Chordata, Mammalia, Perissodactyla, Equidae.